CAAUAGCGUAUAUUAAAGUUGUUGCAGUUAAAAAGCUCGUAGUUGGAUUUCGGGGUGGCCUGGCUGGUCCGCCGCAAGGUGAGUACUGGUCAGCCGCCCUUCCUCUCGAAAGCCCCGACUGCUCUUUACUGCAGUGGUCGGGUAGUUCGGGACGUUUACUUUGAAAAAAUUAGAGUGUUCAAGGCAGGCUAUCGCCUGAAUACAUUAGCAUGGAAUAAUGGAAGAGGACCUCGGUCCUAUUUUGUUGGUUUCUAGGGCCGAAGUAAUGAUUAAGAGGGACAGUUGGGGGCAUUCGUAUUUAAUUGUCAGAGGUGAAAUUCUUGGAUUUAUGGAAGACGAACUAGUGCGAAAGCAUUUGCCAAGGAUGUUUUCAUUAA
This 377-nucleotide ribosomal RNA is filed under the name uncultured eukaryote. RNAcentral's name for it is "partial 18S ribosomal RNA". It matches the Rfam family "Eukaryotic small subunit ribosomal RNA", at positions 592 to 976 of the family's 1831-position model. The record is from RNAcentral.